Molecule: ribosomal RNA, 449 nt
Filed under: uncultured bacterium
Lineage: Bacteria
Description: bacterial SSU rRNA
Rfam family: Bacterial small subunit ribosomal RNA
Source: RNAcentral
GAUGAACGCUGGCGGCGUGCUUAACACAUGCAAGUCGAACGGGAAAUAUUUUAUUGAAACUUCGGUAGAUUUAAUUUAUUUCUAGUGGCGGACGGGUGAGUAACGCGUGGGUAACCUGCCUUAUACUGGGGGAUAACAGCCAGAAAUGGCUGCUAAUACCGCAUAAGCGCACAGGGCCGCAUGGUCCAGUGUGAAAAACUCCGGUGGUAUAAGAUGGACCCGCGUUGGAUUAGCUAGUUGGCAGGGCAGCGGCCUACCAAGGCGACGAUCCAUAGCCGGCCUGAGAGGGUGAACGGCCACAUUGGGACUGAGACACGGCCCAGACUCCUACGGGAGGCAGCAGUGGGGAAUAUUGCACAAUGGGGGAAACCCUGAUGCAGCGACGCCGCGUGAAGGAAGAAGUAUCUCGGUAUGUAAACUUCUAUCAGCAGGGAAGAUAAUGACGGUAC